AGUGAUCGCUGGCGGCGUGCUUAACACAUGCAAGUCGAGCGGAUUUCUGCAGUGUAUCGCAGGAAUUAGCGGCAGACGGGUGAGUAAUACUUGGGCAAUCUGCCCUUGAGUGGGAAACAACCGGCCGAAAGGCUGGCUAAUGUCCCAUAAGACCACGGGAUGGCAUCAUCCAGGGGUCAAAGCUCCGCAAGGGGCGGCUUGAGGAGGAGCCUGAGCCUAUCAUGGUAGUUGGUGAGGUAACGGCUCACCAAG
Molecule: ribosomal RNA, 252 nt
Filed under: uncultured bacterium
Lineage: Bacteria
Description: partial 16S ribosomal RNA
Rfam family: Bacterial small subunit ribosomal RNA
Source: RNAcentral